This 1134-nucleotide ribosomal RNA is filed under the name Triticum aestivum (bread wheat). RNAcentral's name for it is "partial small subunit ribosomal RNA". Lineage: Eukaryota; Viridiplantae; Streptophyta; Magnoliopsida; Poales; Poaceae. The record is from RNAcentral.
AUGGAAUUUCGCCAAGACUAUGAGCCUGAUGAAGAUGAAGACCUCGCCAGGCGGCAUGAUUACUCCCGCUUUUGCUUCAGGGGAAGAGUGGAUGGCACUGGGAUGGGAUCCACCCCUCGCUCGGGUGCGCAUCCUUUUGGUGGCCCGGGAGGCUUCGGGAUGGCAGGCGACUGGGGUGGGCGCAGGGCUAAUGGCCUACUGGCGCCAGCGGGCGGCGUGCCUCCUCCACUCCGGACUUCCACUCGGACAAUGACGGCGACGGACUACUCAUCGUCCGCAUCGGCCGCACGCCCCAAGGCACGCUCGGCUGGCCAGAGCAUGACAGCUCUGAACAUGGAGCACUCAUCGCCUUGCCCAUUGGCGUCAACAGUGGUGGGCUCGGCAACGUUCCUGCAGACUCCUGUGCAAGCGCUCUCGUCAAGCAUUCUGGCGCCUUCAAGAGGUGCCCCUGCAGCUGCUGGCUCGGCUGCUAUGAAUCUAGCGAUGGCCGUGCCGGCGACUUCAACUCGGGCGCUCUCGUCAAACAAGCUAGUGCCUUCGGGUUGCGCCUCCACAGCGGUGGGCUCUGCAGCCUAUGGCGACACACCGGCGGGGCAGGGAGCUUCGGGCGUCACGGCGGUGGGCUCAGCGGCUUGGGGACCGACGCCACCCUCCGGCAGGGUUACUCUCCUUCUGCUGGAGUCCCCACGUCGGCUCUCAUUCUCACCAAAUAUUGGGGCACGGGACGCGUUGAUCCACGAUGAGGAGGAGCUGUCGGGCAGGUGCAGCUCGCAGCUUGCCUUUCAUCCUUCUAUGGUGGAUGAAGAACCUAUUCCUCCUGAAGCUGGAGACCGGCCAGAGGGCCUCAAGACUCUGGUGGUGCAGCAGCGGGAUGAAGGCUCAUCGGUUUCUUGCCAGAGCCCCGUGCGCACACCUUUUGCAGUCCUUAUAAGCCCAAGCAAGCUGCUUCCACCACUGGCGCCAAAACACAAGGAGGAGCAGGUGCUGGGUCCGAAAACUGCUGAAGCCACUCUCCUUGAGGGACUGGGUGCCACGCCCAAGGCCUCAAUCCUGGGACCAAGGCCUGCGGCAUCGGCUCCGGUUCGUCGCAGGAGGCUUAUCCCGCCGAAUUUCACCCCUCGGCGGAGUGCUUGA